GUGUCGCCGACCGGGUGUGACGUCACCAGUGACCCUCUCUGACCAGGCGUGACAUCAGCAGUGACCCUGGGAAUCAGGUGUGGCGUCACUGACCAGGUGUGACAUCACUGACCGAGCGUGUGAGAUCAUCACCGCCAUCACUGGCCGCGUGUGACGUCAUCGACCAGGUGUGACAUCAGCAGUGACAUCACCAUCCAGGUGUGACAUCCCCGGUGCCGCCGCACUCCAGGUGCGGCCGCCGUGUCCCCGCCAUGCUGCGCCAGGCCCGGGCGCUGGUUCGGGCUCUGCCCCGCGUCCUCCCGCGUGUCCCGCGCGUCCCGCGCGUCCCCCUGUGCCAGCGCGUCCCGCGUCCCCCGCGCGACCUGUCCGAGCCCAACGGCGGCUGGAGCGAGCGCAUGCGGCGCCACUACGGGCACCUGCUGAGCGCCGCCCGCGCCGAGGGCUGGGCGCGGCUGGCGUCCUUCCGGGG
Molecule: long non-coding RNA, 469 nt
Organism: Ficedula albicollis (Collared flycatcher)
Lineage: Eukaryota; Metazoa; Chordata; Aves; Passeriformes; Muscicapidae
Exons: 3
Source: RefSeq, a predicted model, not a curated record